GGGGUGCAGAAAGAAAGUCCGUGUAAUUAAACACAUGGUGUCCAAAAGGGCCUUUGCAGUUUGAACAAUAUGCCUGGGCCACAGUCCAGUCCAAUGUGGGCUGGGUGCUCUGACAAUAACCACACUAGGGUUUAGCUUUUUCCUCACACGCUGCCUAAACCCCUAAUCAGUGGGUUCCAUUUUCGCACGGAGCAAAACCAAAAACACGGUGUGGCGCUGCGGAUCUCUCUCUCGGUCGUUGCUCUCCGCCGCGAGAACCACUCCAAAUCGUUCCUCCAUUUCUCUCCUUCACUGUCCUUCUUCGCCUUCCCUACGCUCUCAUCUUCUCCACCCUCGCCGUCCCCUCAUUACACUCCUUAGGACUGUGGGAAUUCUCGGGUGCACGUAGUCGCUGAUUCCUCUACACAGCGCUGACGCCUCCGCUCGUCUCACUUCUCACAUUUCCAUCGAAUCGCGCGCUUGCUGCAAAUUCUCGCAGGGUACUUGUUCCUUCUAAAUUUCUAUCUCUCUUGCCCUAAUUAGGCAUGCUUUCUGUCAUUAUGAUGUAUUUUCAUUAUUAUAUUUAUUUUAAAUGUUUUUGUGUGUUUAACUGGUACUUGAAUAGACUUUACAAUCAGCAUCAGUUGUGAUUUUACGUUUGGCUCGAUGUGAAAAUUGUGGCUAAUGCUUUGUAGCAGGAGGCCUGUGGAGGAGGUUUUGUUGUGUAUUUGAUAAUGAUAAAUGUUAUAUGCAGUUGUGAUUAUAAGUGUUUUAUCAUUUUUAUAAAAGAGAAAUAAGUAUAUGUAUUCUUCUGUUAGAAACUUUUCAGGCUAAUUGAACGGCAUCGACGUUGUUUUACUUUGUAUCAGAUAGUAAUAACAAUAACAGUGUUCAAGACUUAAAUUUAUGUUAAAAUUAAGUGUUGUAUAGGUGAUAGCUGGUAGCAUGGAUGCUCUUUCGUUUAA
Molecule: long non-coding RNA, 944 nt
Organism: Glycine soja
Lineage: Eukaryota; Viridiplantae; Streptophyta; Magnoliopsida; Fabales; Fabaceae
Exons: 2
Source: RefSeq, a predicted model, not a curated record